Molecule: long non-coding RNA, 638 nt
Organism: Aethina tumida (small hive beetle)
Lineage: Eukaryota; Metazoa; Arthropoda; Insecta; Coleoptera; Nitidulidae
Exons: 3
Source: RefSeq, a predicted model, not a curated record
AAAUUACUGUCAUUAAAUUGAACAAUAAAUUUGCCAAUAAAUUAGUGUCAAAACAGCUAUAAUUUUUUAAAUCCAAAUUAAAAAUUGUUCCUAGUCAUGUAAUUGUUUUUAUUUGUGAUUAGUUCCAGUCUUUAAAUUCCAUCAUCAGACAAAAAUGAUAUAGAGAAAACUGGUUGAAAUAAUAUUAAUUACUGGUGCAUUAUAGUAAUGAAAUUAAUAAAUCAAUAAGCCAAACUCGUCGACUCUUGUUUAGGUAAAGAAAAGCCUUUUGAGCCUUUCGGAUCAGGAAUAUCCUGUCCAAAGUUGACAAAACAGAACUGGUAAUGUCCCACACACACACGUGAUGGCACAAAGAGAGGCUCGACCUUUUUUAAACAACGAGCGGUGAUUUGAAUGGCCCUAAAUUACACCUGCAUCGGCUCCGUGCAGGAAGAAGUCAAUCUAGUCAAUGAGAUGGUUUCUAGCUCGGCAUUAAUUUGCCCGACAGAUGUUUCGUAUGAUUUCAGGAUACUUCUUAUUAUCCGUCUUUAUUAUUCGUUAAAGAUCUAUUUUUAGUGUCGCCGCUAAAUAAUGCAAACCAAGCAAAGUUUGCAAUGCAAAACCAUCCUGUUCAACAGACAAUAAAGAAAAACUGAGUA